This is a long non-coding RNA of Ctenopharyngodon idella (grass carp), 4409 nucleotides long. RefSeq lists it as uncharacterized. The record is from RefSeq and is a predicted model, not a curated record. The transcript has 2 exons. Lineage: Eukaryota; Metazoa; Chordata; Actinopteri; Cypriniformes; Xenocyprididae.
CCCACUUCGCAACUUGCAGGACUUAAAGGAUCUGCUGCUAACAUCUUGGUGCCAGAUACCACAGCACACCUUCAGGGGUUUAGUGGAGUCCAUGCCUCGACGGGUCAGGGCUGUUUUGGCAGCAAAAGGGAGACCAACACAAUAUUAGGAAGGUGGUCAUAAUGUUAUGCCUGAUCGGUGUAUGUGGACUUGUACUAUUAGUUUUCUAAACAAUCAGACUUAUGAUUUCCUCAUAGCUAAUCAAAAGAGCAAAACAAUCCCAUAUACGUAACUGAAGAUAUCUAGAGACCUUUUAAAUCUCAGAACAUGUAGGUGAGCUCUACUUGGGCCAGUAAUUGACUAUUCAAAAAUUUACUUGGCAUUAGCAUUGUUGUGGAGGUUUUUCACAUGCAAGAACAUUUAUAUAAUAAUUUAGAAAAUGCAAAAAUGUAUUUUAUACUGUUAGAACAGACUAUGUCAGAAGAUAAGCAACACAUUACAAAAACCCUUUAAAGCUCUCUUUCUCCAGUACAAUACAGUUGUGCUGAUAGGAAAUCCAUCGUUUCGGCUCCUUCAUCCCAACUCAUUGUUUAUUUUCAGUGGUUGGCUAAAGAUCAGGUAUAAAUGUGGAAACUGGAAACCAAAAGUGGAUUUUUAAUCAAUGCAAGGUAAAUGGACAUGGAUGUUCAUAUUUGCUCAAGGCAAACAAAAUGAUUUGAUCACUGGCAGAAAACAAGGCUCUGUCAACAAAGCCAUGGCUGUUGCUAGGGCUUCUAUGGCACCUGGUACAGGUAAAACACAUCCAAAUUACCCAUAAUGUUGGUGUUUUUUAUUUGUGCUUAUUGACUUGUAUGUAGUUUAUAUUCAUUUUGCAACAAAAAUGGCAAAACACUGAACACUGUUGGUCAGAAUUUGAGACAUUUUGAUUCCAAAUUAGGUCUGAAUUUGAUUCCAAAUGGACAUCCUGCACAAUUUAUAUUACAUGAAUCAGAUCCAGUCUUCAGAGCUUGUUUUCUUUGCUUAAGCAGUUUUCCUUACAGCAGAAUUGGAGAGGGGUCAAGUCAUUUACGUCAUUUUUGUGCUGCUCACUUACUUUAGCGCAUGAACCAUUUGUUGUGACGUGCCCUGCUGCGGCAGAGCAAUAAGUGAUAAGGGCAAAACCGUUUAUCUUGUAAAAAACACUUGUUUAAUGAGCCCCUCUCUGUCCACUCCUUCUUGUUCUUUCUGUUUUUCUUCCUCAGGAAAACCAUACCAUAUUUAAAGCAUUGGCCAAAUCCAAAAUCCCUCUGCCAACAUGACUGUUUUAAUCCCCCUCUCUUAUAUAUCUGUAUGAAUUUUGUGGUUCAAAGCAGAUGAAUUCAUUCCAUGUUACACAGGGUUUAAGCUGGUUUGACAGGAAAAAUCUCUUGUCUAGACAUGGUUAAACUGACAAAUCCAGUGUUUCUUGUAUUUUGGUACACUGCAGAAUGCAAAACAUAGUGUGUUUUCCCCAGAUUGUGUAACUGACAUGGGCUAGGUUAUUUCAGAUUUGUUUAAUUGUUAUUUUCUAAAUUGCAUAAUAUAUUGUGUAUACUGCAGUUUUGCAUAGCACAAUGAAGUACCCAGUGUUUGGUGCUCUUAAUAAAGAAGCAAGACUUAGCUGGUGAAGCUAGUUGACCAAGGUAGUCUUGCUGGUUAAGCUAGUUAAGCAGCCUUGUAGGGAAACCAGCGCACUAGCAUCCAAAACACUCCAUAGAAGUUAUCUGAUAUUUCUAUGUUUUUGAUAUCAUAAGUCCACAAGAAUAGCUUAAUGGGUUUGGGUCAUUCUUCAGUUGAGGUGAUAAAUAGUGUCCCCUUAUUUUCCAACAGUUGAAACUUUAAAUACCAAUAAAUCAUAAAAUAUUUGCAUAUUUAUAUUCUGUAGGGUGAAAACAAUUUGUGAACUGUUAAAAAAAAAAGAAAAAAAAAAAAAAGUAUAUUUAAUCAAGUUGAGAGAUUUCAUGUGUAACAAAAUCUGCAUGUUCCCACCAUACCUCAAAGAGGUAUCCUGGCAUGCAACUGCAAAAAUAUAACAUUCUUAAAACAAAUAAAAUGGUUAUAUUGUGAUCUAUAUUUAAUUUAACAAGUACAAUUUAACUAAAUUGUUUAACAUUUUGUUAUAAUUUAAGAAAAAGUUGUAUCCCCCAACUUCGUCUGUGGUGUUACAGUAAUGGAUAUUGCCCAUUUAGGAAAGGGGGGAUUGUAUUUGGACUACUUCCUGUGUGUAAAGGUCAUUGCAGGUGCUAGUUGAUCUGAGGGGUGCAUGGUGAGUUGAUUCUUAUUAAUUUGUAACCAAUCAGGCAGAACAUUAUGGCCACCUUGGAUUGGCCUCCAUGGAUUGGACUUGUUUGUUCAGCACAUCCCACAGAUGCUCAAUUGGAUUGAGAUCUGUUGAAUUUGGAGGCCAAGUCAACACCUCAAACUCGUUGUUGUUCUCCUCAAACCAUUCCUGAACCAUUUUUGCUUUGUGGCAGGGCGCGUUAUCCUGCUGAAAGAGGCCACAACCACCAGAGAAUACCGUUUCCAUGAAAGGGUGUACAUGGUCUGCAACAGUGCUUAGAAUUGUUGGAGCACACACAUGAGGGAACAACAUUAACAUGAGGGAUGACUAAAACGUGGAUGACGUGAUGACGUGAUGACUUGAAGAUGACUUGAAUGACUGGCGAUCGACUUGGAUGAGUUAACAGCUAGCAAGGUAGUCAGGAACAUAAAGCAGGUAAGUAGCAAGAUAAGUAUUCUGUAGCAUCAGAAGAGGUCAAACCAUGACUGAGGGAGUGUGUGUGUUCUGUAUAGUGCUGGUGAUGAGGGCUAGAUGUGUUUCAGGUGUGCAUGGUUAGGUGCGGGAAGGAUGAUGAGAAAUACAAUCCGUGAUCGUGGGCGUGUAGUGUAUGUUUGAGCUGUUUUAGCUGAAAGCAACUUGGACCGACAUUUCUUAAAAUAUGUCAGUGCCAUUGUUUUGUCUCAAGAAGCACACCAGCAAUGUUUUUUUUUUUUUCCGAAGGCAUUUUUUUUAAAAAGCUACUUAAAUGUCAUAAUUGAACUAAGGCCUAAUCCUGGCUUAAUCUAAGCCCUGUCUGUGAAAUCAGGCCUAUAUUUCUUAACACACUUAAGUACACUUUUAAAAAGUCCUACUUAAGUGGGUCAAAAAGCGCUCUAAAGUUCUGCAUUUAAUAUAAAUUUCAACUAUAAUACAUUUAACAUUUUAGUUGCAAUUAAGGAUCCGAAAACAUUACAAUCAGUUCGCACUUAAGUAUAUUAUUUUAAAGUUUAUUAUGGUAUGUUAAAGUGUACUUCUUUUUUACAAGGGUAUCUGGGAAUGCGGCCUUGAUGUACCAUACCAACCAUAUUGGAGGUCUACAAAUGUGGGUAGGUAGGUGUCAUUGAUAAUUGCCCAUGCAGAGUGACCAGGUGACCUGGAAGACCAAGCAAGUCUUGUGUUCAAUGACAUGCUGGAUGCCUUUCACAUGCUUUCUGGGAAAUGCUUAGCAUUAUUUCCUAAAACUACAACUCUGAAACAGCCUCAAGAGCAAAGGGGUACAUGUGCUACGUGCUCAGAGGCCUGCAACCUACAUUGAGCACACUUUAACUGCCUUUCUGACACUGAAGAUUCAUUGUUUCUACAUACUUCCAUGUAUACUUUUUAUAAGUGUACCUAAGUGUGUUAAGAAAAAGUCUUGAAAGUGAACUCUCUUUAAGUACACUUAAGUGGCUUUUUAUUUCAUUAAUAUUAUAUUAUCUGCAAGUAUAGUUAAAAAUGUACUUUGAUGAUUUGAAGUACACUACAAGUUCACAUUUAAUACAAUUAAGCACAGUUCUUUUUCACAAGGGCGGUUUCACUUUUGAUGUAGAUUCAGUGCAUCUAUUGUAUUGCCAAAAAGCAAACAGAUUAAUUGUUUCAUGACUGAAAAACUAGUUGGGAAUAUUUAGACAGGUCAGUCACUCUUGACCUUUGACUUCAAACAAAAAUUUUCUUGACCUUUGGGAGAAAACAAGCCCUCUCUUGCCAUUUAAAGCUUUACAAAUAAUAAAGUCAAUGACCGUAAAAAGCAUUUGGAAAGGUUUUUCAGAAUCUUUUAAACAAUGUGACAGUUCACGAGUUUACACGUACAUGAAAUCAAAUUAAAGUAAUUAGUAUAGUAAUUUAUGCGUAUUUGCCGUGCUGUCCGGGGGAGGGCUCCGAGCUCGGAAUUUGGCCCGAACCCAGAGUACUCCCCCUCCUUAACUGGGAUAGAAACCAGCCAAGAGUGAGGUGAUGGGGUGGUGGAGGGAUGCUGUGAAACUUGUCGCGGGAUAGAGGUGAGAGACGGCUUUAUAUACCGGCUUUCUCUUGCACUGAUUGGUUGAUUACUUGAAAGUGCGCCUCCCGAAUUUUGUUAAAUAAAACUUCAUUUCAUGUACUGAUUAUAACAAAA